UGGGGAAUAUUGCACAAUGGGCGCAAGCCUGAUGCAGCCAUGCCGCGUGUGUGAAGAAGGCCUUCGGGUUGUAAAGCACUUUCAGCGAGGAGGAAGGUGGUGAACUUAAUACGUUCAUCAAUUGACGUUACUCGCAGAAGAAGCACCGGCUAACUCCGUGCCAGCAGCCGCGGUAAUACGGAGGGUGCAAGCGUUAAUCGGAAUUACUGGGCGUAAAGCGCACGCAGGCGGUUUGUUAAGUCAGAUGUGAAAUCCCCGGGCUCAACCUGGGAACUGCAUUGAAACUGGCAAGCUAGAGUCUCGUAGAGGGGGUAGAAUUCCAGGUGGUAGCGGUGAAAUGCGUAGAGAUCUGGAGGAAUACCGGUGGCGAAGGCGGCCCCCUGGACGAAGACUGACCGCUCAGGUGCGAAAGCGUGGGGAGCAAACAGGAUUAGAUAACCCUGGUAGUCCACGCUGUAAACGAUGUCGAUUUUGGAGGUUGUGCCCUUGAGGCGUGGCUUCCGGAGCUAACGCGUUAAAUCGACCGCCUGGGGAGUACGGCCGCAAGGUU
This 550-nucleotide ribosomal RNA is filed under the name uncultured bacterium. Its description in RNAcentral is "partial 16S ribosomal RNA". It matches the Rfam family "Bacterial small subunit ribosomal RNA", at positions 355 to 895 of the family's 1533-position model. The record is from RNAcentral.